This 1199-nucleotide long non-coding RNA is filed under the name Helianthus annuus (common sunflower). RNAcentral describes it as "hypothetical non coding rna". The record is from RNAcentral. Lineage: Eukaryota; Viridiplantae; Streptophyta; Magnoliopsida; Asterales; Asteraceae.
AUUGUCGUACCCGUAUCUUGGAAUUUUGAGUUUUGCCGUUCCUCGUUCCCGUGUCGUCCCCGUACCCGUUCCAGUGCUACUUAGGUCAACAAUGUAAAUUAAUACCUAUAUUUUUCCUACAAGGUAGAAUUUGACUUAAUCCCAUCACUCUAAUACUUACUUUCGCUUUCUACAAAUCACUGAUUCUCCCGCCAGAUGGUGGUCACAAACAGACCUCCUGUGGCGAGUCUAGCGGUUCUGUUUUGCAAGUUUGAAUUAGACUUUUACUUUUCUCAUUUGUUUGAUUUUUAAUUUCAUGGUUUGUUAUUUUGUUUCCUAAUUGAAUUAUAUUUCCUACAUUUUAAAUAAAUUAGGGUCUAGCAUUUAUUUGUUAAGGUAGUUUUUGAGUUUUGAUUAUUGUAAAGACACUUUUGAGGUCUCUUUAAACCAUUCGGUUCGAUUUGAAGCCUUUAAUUUAAUGUUAUAGUUUCUAGCCAUUUGAUUGCUACGCGUUUCUGCAUCAUAUAGUCUUCCUCAUAUCCAGGCCUGGCAAAUUUGACCUGCCAUCCCAAAAUUGGGUUGAUAUGGGUGGCUUUUUAAAAGUUUUGGGUUGAUAUGGGUAGCUGUUUCUUAUUGAACGGGUCAGAAUGGGUUAAUUGAGACAACCCUUUCUUAUGAAAUGGGUCUGAAUGGUUAAGCGACCCUGAACCAGUAAGUGCUGAACCACUAAAGUGCUGUUUGGUUGCACCCCUGAAUGACUGUGUAAAAUGACAUUUUUACCCCUCUGAACUACUGUGCUAAACAAUGGUAUCCAGUAUCCUACAACUCGCACAUACCUAAUUUCAGAUUUCACAUACCUAAUCAUAAACAACGAUAUCCAGUAUCCGACAACUUGCACAUAAGAUGAAACCCUAGGGCAUCAAUUGAAUGUAAAAGAUGGAACAUAAGGUCAGACACUUACAGGUAGUCGUCGUCGGCAGAGAUUGAAAUGAAACUGAGCGUGGAGGAGUGGUGGCGGAUUGUGGAGGAGAUGGGGCUGUGGUGGAGGCCGACGAUGAGGAGGGCGGCUGUGGAGGAGGAGGCCGGCGGAUUGUGGAGGAGAUGGGGCUGUCGACGAGGAGAUGGGGCUGUGGAGAGGAGAUGGGCGGCGGAGUGAUGGAAGGCGACGGAGUUGUGGAGGAGAGGAGGAGAUGAUGGUGGCUAUGGAGGAGAAAUAUGGU